UUGGAGGGCAAGUCUGGUGCCAGCAGCCGCGGUAAUUCCAGCUCCAAUAGCGUAUAUUAAAGUUGUUGCAGUUAAAAAGCUCGUAGUUGAAUUUCGGGGUCAGUAGAUUGGUCAUGCCACUGGUAUGUACUGGUCUCACUGAUUCCUCCUUCCUGAUGAGCCGUAAUGCCAUUAAUUUGGUGUUGCGAGGAAUCUGGACUGUUACUUUGAAAGAAUUAGAGUGUUUAAAGCAGGCUAACGCUUGAAUACAUUAGCAUGGAAUAAUGAAAUAGGACGUUUGAUUCUAUUUUGUUGGUUUCUAGGAUCGACGUAAUGAUUAAUAGGGAUAGUUGGGGGCAUUAGUAUUCAAUUGUCAGAGGUGAAAUUCUUGGAUUUAUUGAAGACUAACUACUGCGAAAGCAUUUGCCAAGGAUGUUUUCAUUAAUCAAGAACGAAAGUUAGGGGAUCGAAGACGAUCAGAUACCGUCGUAGUCUUAACCAUAAACUAUGCCGACUAGGGAUCGGAUGAUGUUAAUUUUUUAAUGACUCAUUCGGCACCUUACGGGAAAC
RNAcentral lists this ribosomal RNA (549 nucleotides) under uncultured Glomus. RNAcentral describes it as "SSU rRNA". It matches the Rfam family "Eukaryotic small subunit ribosomal RNA", at positions 548 to 1098 of the family's 1831-position model. Lineage: Eukaryota; Fungi; Glomeromycota; Glomeromycetes; Glomerales; Glomeraceae. The record is from RNAcentral.